AAGGGGCCUUCGGUCCUGAGUAAAGCGGCGCACGGGUGAGUAACACGUGGGUAAUCUGCCCUAGAGUGGGGAAUAACACCGGGAAACCGGUGCUAAUACCGCAUACGAUCGCGAUGUCUUCGGAUGUUGUGAUGAAAGGAGCAAUUCGCUCUUGGAGGAGCCCGCGGCUGAUUAGCUAGUUGGUGAGGUAAUGGCUCACCAAGGCUGCGAUCAGUAGCCGGUCUGAGAGGACGGUCGGCCACACUGGAACUGAGACACGGUCCAGACUCCUACGGGAGGCAGCAGUGGGGAAUUUUUCGCAAUGGGGGCAACCCUGACGAAGCAACGCCGCGUGGGUGAUGAAGUCUCUUGGGACGUAAAACCCUUUCGACGGGGAAGAAACCGCAAGGUUGACGGUACCCGUAGAAGAAGCCCCGGCUAACUCCGUGCCAGCAGCCGCGGUAAUACGGGGGGGGCAAGCGUUGUUCGGAAUUACUGGGCGUAAAGGGCGCGUAGGCGGUUCGCUAAGUUGAAUGUGAAAACUCUGGGCUUAACCCAGAGCCUGCAUUCAAUACUGGCGGGCUAGAGUUCUGGAGGGGAUAGCGGAAUUCCUGGUGUAGCGGUGAAAUGCGUAGAUAUCAGGAGGAACACCGGUGGCGAAGGCGGCUAUCUGGACAGAGUCUGACGCUGAGGCGCGAAAGCUAGGGGAGCAAACAGGAUUAGAUACCCUGGUAGUCCUAGCCCUAAACGAUGGAUACUUGCUGU
This 744-nucleotide ribosomal RNA is filed under the name uncultured bacterium. RNAcentral describes it as "bacterial SSU rRNA". It matches the Rfam family "Bacterial small subunit ribosomal RNA", at positions 71 to 823 of the family's 1533-position model. The record is from RNAcentral.